GGUAGAGUCCCGCGGGAGUCAGCUCUGCCUCCCGGCGCCGGCUUCGCCUGGGGUCCUUUGUACUCCUCGCCCAGGGGGUCCCCAGCUUGCUGAGCUCCUGGCUCCCGAAGCCGUUCGCCUGCUGCGGGCGCGUCCUCGGGCCUAGGGAGGGGCGGGUCGCCCUCCUGUCCUGCCCGUGUUAACCAGAGAAGACCCCUGGCCUGGGCAGUAAGCCAGGGGGCGUCAGGAAACGCCCCCUAGAAAGUGGCUCUGAAGUUGACACCCGUCCUACUGCAUGGCAGGACUCAUUCCCGUGAACAUCACUUUGCAGCUGCGUUUAUGUUGCAAUAACUGGAACUACUCUUCUAAGUUUGUUUUCUUUGUAUGAAUUCCCGGCAAGUUCGUUUUACUAAAAGCACCAAAGGUUUUCACCAGACAUAACAGCUUCCUGAGGUGCUAGGCCUAAAAGAUUUUUAAAGAUCUUUAAUAUUUGUAUAUUUUCAUGGAGACGCCCUGAGGAUGUUUACUGUCACUAGGUAUUCCAACUUUAUUAUAUGGACUUGGCUCCUGGUUAUUUGCCAGAGUCACAGAGACUGUGCAUACCAGUUAUGGACCCAUAACAGUUUAUUUUCUCAAUAAAGAAGAUGAAGGUGCCAUGUAUUGAAAGUGUGCAUCGAAGAACAUAAAUAUCAGUGGAUUUUCUCUGUGUAUAUGUGCAGUAUUUAUUUUUGAUCCUUUAAAAUAAAACUUUUGCAAAUAC
RNAcentral lists this small RNA (739 nucleotides) under Pan troglodytes (chimpanzee). RNAcentral's name for it is "processed transcript". The record is from RNAcentral. Lineage: Eukaryota; Metazoa; Chordata; Mammalia; Primates; Hominidae.